Molecule: unclassified non-coding RNA, 2922 nt
Filed under: Hevea brasiliensis (rubber tree)
Lineage: Eukaryota; Viridiplantae; Streptophyta; Magnoliopsida; Malpighiales; Euphorbiaceae
Source: RNAcentral
GGUUCACACGCAAGGUGUUCGUGGAAAUGUUGAGCUCAACAACGUGUUGCAAGAGAAGCAGAUUUUCUCGGCUUUGGAUGAAAUUGAUGUUAGCCCUGUAGUAGAUGAUAUCACUGGGAUUGUUCGUGCUGAAAAUGCCAUGGUUUCAAUGGAGGAGAGGUUAGAGAGUCUGGAGUUUCAGUUUGAACCGGAGAUUGUUGAGAAAGUUUUGAAGAGAUGCUUUAAAGUUCCACAUUUAGCUUUCAGGUUUUUCAAUUGGGUGAGGAUGAAAGAUGGGUUUUUUCAUACGACCAAGACUUAUAAUACCAUGUUAUAUAUAGCUGGAGAAGCGAAAGAAUUUAAGGUGGUGGAUGAUUUGGUGGAGGAAAUGGAGAAGAACUCAUGCGAGAAGGAUAUUAAAACUUGGGCCAUUCUUAUCUCACUGUUUGGGAAGGCAAAAUUAAUUGGCAAAGCCUUGUUCUUCUUUGAGGAGAUGAAGAAAUCCAAGUGUAAACCUGAUGAAAAAAUUUACAAAAUGAUGGUGCGUUCUCUAUGUAAUGAUGGAAAAGGUGAGAUUGCAUUGGAACUUUACAAGGAGAUGACUCAAAGGGAUAUGAGAUUGGAUUUAACUUUGUACAAAAUUUUAUUGAAUAGCAUGGCAAAGUCAGGAAAUGUUAGUGCUGUAAACUUGGUUGCUGAUGACAUGAAUAGGCUUUCCCAGAUCCCAAAGCCCGAUGUUCAUGUUUGUGUUCUGAAGAGUUUUUGUGUGGCUGGGAGAAUUAGAGAAGCCUUAUCAUUGAUUCGUGACCUCAAGAAUAAAGAGAUACCACUUAACUAUGAAUAUUUUGAGAUUUUAGUGAAAGGACUGUGCAGAGCUGGUAAUAUUGCAGAUGCUAUGGAAAUUGUUGAAAUUAUGAAGAAAAAAAAUGUUGUUGAUGCACAGGUUUAUGGGAUUAUCAUCAAUGGAUACCUGAGGAUAAAAGAGCUUUCUAAGGCACUUGAGCUGUUUCAAAGCAUGAAAGAAUCGGGAUACCAACCAACUGCUUCCACCUAUACAGAAUUAAUGCAACACAUGUUCAAUUUGAAUCAGUAUCAAAAAGGAUAUGAGCUAUACAAUGAGAUGCUGGAAAGAGGAAUUGAGGCGGAUGGUGUAGCAAUUAUGGCGAUUGUUGCAGGUCAUGUUCGCCAAAAUAAAAUAUCAGAAGCAUGGGAAGCAUUCAAUACCAUGGAAGAUAAGGGAAUCAAUCCCAAUUGGAAAUCUUAUUCCAUAUUCAUUAAGGAGCUUUGCAAAGUUUCAAGAACAGAUGAGAUUUUGAAGGUUCUGUACAAAAUGCAGGGUUCCAAGAUAUUCAUUAAUAAUGAAUUAUUUAAGUGGGUUAUAGCUUGUAUGGAGAAGAAGGGAGAAAAGGACAAUAUUCAAAAAGUGAAGCAGAUGCAAAGAAUUUGUAGACUUCAUUAUAUACAAGACGAGGCAUCUAGGAAACAGGAGCUCAAGGUAGAACAUAACCAUAACCAAUCGGAGUGUGGAAUGAUAGAUCAAUCAGAGCAAGGGAUGAUAGAUUGUCCCUUGUUGAAGCCACUUUCAAAGGGUUAUAACGAGCAAGAUUUGCAAGAAAUAAGUUGGAUAUUGUCAUCCUCAGACAAUUGGUGCACAAUGAGAGAAGCUUUGGAGAAAUGCACUGUUCAUUUCACACCAGAAUUAGUUGUGGAGAUGUUGCAUAAUUGCUGCAUACAUGGCAAUGCUGCAUUACAUUUUUUUUCAUGGGUAGGAUUGCAAACUGGUUAUCGCCACACAACAGAAACAUACAACAUGGCUAUGAAAAUUUCUGGAAGGGGGAAAGAUUUCAAGCACAUGAGAAGCCUUUUUUAUGAGAUGAGAAGAAAGGGUUGCUUAAUAACACCAGACACAUGGGCAAUCAUGAUAAUGCAAUACGGUCGAACAGGUCUAACAGAGAUUGCUUUAAAGAUUUUCAAUGAGAUGAAAGAUAAUGGUUAUAAUCCAACUGGCAGUACCUACAAGUAUUUGAUCAUCAGUCUUUGUGGGAGAAAAGGUAGAAAGAUAGAUGAAGCUAUUAAAAUAUUCCAGGAGAUGAUUCGUGCUGGACACAUCCCUGACAGAGAAGUAGUUGAAAGUUAUCUCUGUUGUUUAUGUGAAGCUGGGAAACUGUCAGAAGCCAGAAGGAGCGUAGAUUCUCUUUGUAAGGCUGGUUUCACUAUUCCUCUUAGUUAUUCUCUGCACAUUAGGGCGCUUUGUCGAGCAGGAAGAUUGGAAGAAGCUUUAUCAUUGCUAGAUGAGGUUGGGGCAGAACGAUCUACAUUGGAUCAGUAUACUUAUGGAACCAUUGUUCAUGGAUUACUACGAAAGGGACGGCAAGAAGAGGCAUUGGCCAAGGUGGAUUCCAUGAAACAGACAGGCAUUCAACCAACUGUCCAUGUUUAUACCUCCUUAAUAGUUCAUUUUUUUAAGGAGAAGCAGAUGGAAAAGGCUAUUAAAUUUUUCAAGAAAAUGCAAGAAGAGGGCUGCAAACCGACAAUUGUUACAUAUUCAGCAUUGAUUCGUGGAUACAUGAACAUGGGGAGAGUUGGUGAUGCUUGGAAUGUGUUCAAUCAUAUGAAAUUGGAAGGACCUGCACCUGAUUUCAAGACUUACUCAAUGUUCAUUAGUUGUCUCUGUAGGGCAGGUAAAUCAGAAGAAGCCCUGCAGCUUAUAACCCAAAUGUUGGAUGAAAGGAUUGUUCCAAGUACUAUAAAUUUUAGAACUGUUUUCUUUGGGCUAAACAGAGAAGGUAAACAUGAUUUAGCUCAGACUGUAUUGAAACAAAAGUUGGCUUUAAGGAGCAAACGCAAGUUCUUAACCUAAUUAAUUUCUUUUCUCACUUCUUUGUAGAUGUAUAUAUAUGUUUUGCUUGCAAUUUUUGCAAACUUCAAUUGCUAUUGAAAUUC